GAAACCGAGUCUUAACCGGGCGUUAAGUUGCAGGGUAUAGACCCGAAACCCGGUGAUCUAGCCAUGGGCAGGUUGAAGGUUGGGUAACACUAACUGGAGGACCGAACCGACUAAUGUUGAAAAAUUAGCGGAUGACCUGUGGCUGGGGGUGAAAGGCCAAUCAAACCGGGAGAUAGCUGGUUCUCCCCGAAAGCUAUUUAGGUAGCGCCUCGUGAAUUCAUCUCCGGGGGUAGAGCACUGUUUCGGCUAGGGGGCCAUCCCGGCUUACCAACCCGAUGCAAACUGCGAAUACCGGAGAAUGUUAUCACGGGAGACACACGGCGGGUGCUAACGUCCGUCGUGAAGAGGGAAACAACCCAGACCGCCAGCUAAGGUCCCAAAGUCAUGGUUAAGUGGGAAACGAUGUGGGAAGGCCCAGACAGCCAGGAUGUUGGCUUAGAAGCAGCCAUCAUUUAAAGAAAGCGUAAUAGCUCACUGGUCGAGUCGGCCUGCGCGGAAGAUGUAACGGGGCUAAACCAUGCACCGAAGCUGCGGCAGCGAACGUAUCACCCAAGACAACUUUACGGAGUUGACGAUUGACGGAGCGAAGCGACGUCAAAGCGUUCAUUAAAGUCGAGUUGGCUUAGGGAUACGUUCGUUGGGUAGGGGAGCGUUCUGUAAGCCUGUGAAGGUGUGUCGUGAGGCAUGCUGGAGGUAUCAGAAGUGCGAAUGCUGACAUAAGUAACGAUAAAGCGGGUGAAAAGCCCGCUCGCCGGAAGACCAAGGGUUCCUGUCCAACGUUAAUCGGGGCAGGGUGAGUCGACCCCUAAGGCGAGGCCGAAAGGCGUAGUCGAUGGGAAACGGGUUAAUAUUCCCGUACUUGGUGUUACUGCGAAGGGGGGACGGAGAAGGCUAUGUUGGCCGGGCGACGGUUGUCCCGGUUUAAGCGUGUAGGUGUGUGUUCCAGGUAAAUCCGGUUCACUUUAACACUGAGGCGUGACGACGAGGCACUACGGUGCUGAAGCAACAAAUGCCCUGCUUCCAGGAAAA
Molecule: ribosomal RNA, 1029 nt
Filed under: Salmonella enterica subsp. enterica serovar Typhimurium
Lineage: Bacteria; Pseudomonadati; Pseudomonadota; Gammaproteobacteria; Enterobacterales; Enterobacteriaceae
Description: partial 23S ribosomal RNA
Rfam family: Bacterial large subunit ribosomal RNA
Source: RNAcentral